AUUGAACGCUGGCGGCAGGCCUAACACAUGCAAGUCGAGCGGAUGAGUGGAGCUUGCUCCAUGAUUCAGCGGCGGACGGGUGAGUAAUGCCUAGGAAUCUGCCUGGUAGUGGGGGACAACGUUUCAAAAGGAACGCUAAUACCGCAUACGUCCUACGGGAGAAAGCAGGGGACCUUCGGGCCUUGCGCUAUCAGAUGAGCCUAGGUCGGAUUAGCUAGUAGGUGAGGUAAAGGCUCACCUAGGCGACGAUCCGUAACUGGUCUGAGAGGAUGAUCAGUCACACUGGAACUGAGACACGGUCCAGACUCCUACGGGAGGCAGCAGUGGGGAAUAUUGGACAAUGGGCGAAAGCCUGACCCAGCCAUGCCGCGUGUGUGAAGAAGGUCUUCGGAUUGUAAAGCACUUUAAGUUGGGAGGAAGGGCAGUAAGUUAAUACCUUGCUGUUUUGACGUUACCAACAGAAUAAGCACCGGCUAACUUCGUGCCAGCAGCCGCCGUAA
Molecule: ribosomal RNA, 500 nt
Filed under: uncultured bacterium
Lineage: Bacteria
Description: partial 16S ribosomal RNA
Rfam family: Bacterial small subunit ribosomal RNA
Source: RNAcentral